UUGACAAUCUAGGAAAGCCUCCAGGAAGUCAUCUCUUCUACUCAUUUCCUAACACCCUUUCAAAUCUCCAAAACAAAUGAUAAUGACCAAAAGUUUCCCAACUUCUCCACACUCACAAAGGCACCAAACACUCUCAUACAUACCCAUUUGCCCUUCACAGGAAGUACAUAAGAGCUGAGCAUAUUAAAUACAGAUACUUUUGGGAAAUUCCAAAAUUUCUUUUCUCAUGGAGCUUCAAUACCAACAUUUUCCUUUGGGUUAUCAAGUAGUCACCAAAGGGAUUUUCACAAAGUGAGAUGAAAUAUACCUAUCACACAUCCAGCUUCCUUUUCCCUUCAUUUACAAACCAUGGCAUUUUUCUUCCUAUCAGGAAAGAGCCCUAAAUCUUGAAAGCAGGACUUUCCCCAAAUCACCCUCCUACUUUGUGUCAGGGGCCUUCUGCUCAAACAGAAACAGUAGCUUAGUGGAAGGGAUUGAGAACUGGUUACCAAAUGAGGUCACAGAAGUGAAUCUGAAAGCAGAAGAAGAAAAAAGAAGCAUGUGUUAAAAGGGAAAUUGGUUCACUGAUUUUAUGAUGAUGGCAUUUGAUAAGUAAAAAGAAAGAAAGAAAUUGAGGAAUACAAUAGAUGAAGCAGAAAGAAUAUCAGAAAAGAGCCAUAGUGGCUAGAAGGCAGAAAGGAAUCAAAAGAGAAGAUAGAGAGGCUGAGGAUUGCUAGUGGAGUCAUCAAUUUACUGAUCUGAUGGGCAUGGCUCAUCUUAACCUCAUUUUCAGUGAACUCCAGAGUCUACCCAAAAGAAGUAAGUAAACUAAGAGUAAAUGAAAAGACAGAAGAAAUAGAAUCUAGAUGAUAGUGAUGUCAGAAAUAAAAAAACAAGGACUGGAACAGAAGGGAUGCUGUAGUGAAGGACUCCAGAUGUGCCACUGGGAAAGAGAUUCUGUGAGAAAAAGAAACCUUCUCUUUGCCAUAAGACUUGCUGGCAUUGGAGAAUGAGGAAAAGCUGCUAAGGAUCUCCUGAUGGGGGAAAGGGCCUCCAGUCCUCCCUCUCACUACCCAAGGAGACAUGAACUGGAGAGCGCAAGACCUUGCUGUUGCUUUUUUCUCUCUUGCAUCCAUUCUUUGUUAUUACUACAUGAAGAAAAUUAGAGAUGUCUUCAACCUUGUGAGCUUCAAAAGGUAAGGAGACUUAGUCACCAUGUAAUCUAGGAUUAGAAUGGGGCAAUCAUUAAACAUUUAUGUGUUGUUGUGUGUCAGGCACUGUGCUAAGCACUACCUAUAUGGGGUUUUGCAUCUGGCCAGUCUGUCAAGCAUGAAGGAGAGGAACAACCUGAGGACCCAGCCCAUCUGUCACUGAGAAGAAGACUCCAGAAGCAGAGAAAAUGUUAAUAUUUAUGUUCUUGCCCUAGCUUCCAAUAAAAUAUCCAUUU
Molecule: long non-coding RNA, 1426 nt
Filed under: Monodelphis domestica (gray short-tailed opossum)
Lineage: Eukaryota; Metazoa; Chordata; Mammalia; Didelphimorphia; Didelphidae
Description: lncRNA (ENSMODG00000050082.1)
Source: RNAcentral